GCGCCUACACAUGCAAGUCGAGCGGUAACAGGGGUAAUUUAUUACCUGCUGACGAGCGGCGGACGGCUGAGUAACGCGUGGGAACAUGCCCCAAAGUGAGGAAUAAGCACCAAAAAUGGUGUCUAAUGCCGCAUAUGAUCUUCGGAUUAAAGGAUUUAUCCGCUUUGGGAGUGGCCCGCGUACGAUUAGGUAGUUGGUGAGGUAAAGGCUCACCAAGCCUACGAUCGUUAAUUGGUCUGAGAGGAUGACCAGUCAGACUGGAACUGAAACACGGUCCAAACUCCUACGGGAGGCAGCAGUGAGGAAUCUUCCACAAUGGGCGAAAGCCUGAUGGAGCGACGCCGCGUGCAGGAUGAAGGCCUUCGGGUUGUAAACUGCUUUUAUAAGUGAAAAAUAUGACGGUAACUUAUGAAUAAGCACCGGCUAACUACGUGCCAGCAGCCGCGGUCAUACGUAGGGUGCAAGCAUUAUCCGGAGUGACUGGGCGUAAAGAGUUGCGUAGGUGGUUCGUAAAGUGAAUGGUGAAAUCUGGCGGCUCAACCGUACAGACUAUUAUUCAAACUCACGAACUCGAGAAUGGUAGAGGUAACUGGAAUUUCUAGUGUAGGAGUGAAAUCCGUAGAUAUUAGAAGGAACACCAAUGGCGUAGGCAGGUUACUG
Molecule: ribosomal RNA, 660 nt
Filed under: uncultured bacterium
Lineage: Bacteria
Description: bacterial SSU rRNA
Rfam family: Bacterial small subunit ribosomal RNA
Source: RNAcentral